GCCAUCUCUCGAAAGUUAUGAGAUCCCAGGCUGGGGGAGAAGCGAAGAACCAAAGGCCCCCUUUAUAGAGGCAGUCGACGAGCCAGGAAGCUUUUAGAGGAACAUACUUGGAAGCAAAUCUGGGGAUGCAGAAUGUGCCAUGGCCUGAACGACCACAUCCGUACCAAGGCUGGUAGUGUGGGAGGCCACCGAGCCGAGGAUGGAGACAAGAAAAGACGACCAGACGUGUGGUUCACCAUUGGCCGCCACCAUUGACCGGCAGUCACCACGCGUUGUCGCUGCCAUCGUCUUCACGGUAGGUAAUGCAGCUCAAUCCCAACCUGCAGUGAGAUCAUCUUUCUCGUCAAUGUCGAGAUGGACGGGAAAGUUUAUUUUAUGAAAGGUUUACUAUAA
This is a non-coding RNA of Musa acuminata subsp. malaccensis (wild Malaysian banana), 393 nucleotides long. NCBI's taxonomy places the organism in Eukaryota, Viridiplantae, Streptophyta, Magnoliopsida, Zingiberales, Musaceae. The record is from RefSeq and is a predicted model, not a curated record.